GGACUGAAGUUGGUUCUUUAGAUAUUUUACGUGAAGAUUCUUGAUUCUCACUCUUGAUGCUUCUGUGCAUAUUAGAGAAUGGUGAAGGUUUGAUCGUCCAGACAUGUGAUUUUUAGUCCUUGGUAUUAUAUAGCUUCAAGGAACAGACAUUUAGGAAUGUUGUUAGGACCCACUACAAAUGGAAAUUUAAUGCAGUCAUUUACAGGGAGACUUUAGUUUCACCAGUCACCUGUGGUAUUGCAGACAUCUAAGAUCAACACUAUUUGGGGGAGCUAAUAUGUGAGCACCAUGAUGCUUAAGGAAAUCUCCAAAAUGUUUGAACCAAGUUGAAGCUGCUGCCAGAGGUGAAGAGCCCAGUUGUAAUUGAAGGUGGAAUUUAGGAAAAGGUGCUCGUCUACUUCUGCAUCUCCCUCAAUUGUACACUAAUUGACUAAAUUAUUUUGGUUUUACUAACUGCUGGUAUUGGUUUUAUUUGAUUGGUUGCCUCGGUAAA
Molecule: long non-coding RNA, 493 nt
Organism: Rosa chinensis
Lineage: Eukaryota; Viridiplantae; Streptophyta; Magnoliopsida; Rosales; Rosaceae
Exons: 2
Source: RefSeq, a predicted model, not a curated record